UUUUCCGGUUGAUCCUGCCGGACCCCACUGCUAUUGGGAUGAGACUAAAACAUGCAAGUUGUGCGUCCCGGGCUAUGGCGGGACGCAGCGUACGGCUCAGUAACACGUGGCUGACCUACCCUUGGGACGGGGACAACCCCGGGAAACUGGGGGUAAUUCCAGAUAGGUGAGGAGGCCUGGAAUGGUUCUUCAUCAAAAGGACUUCAGCACCAUGCUUGCUGACGUCGCCCAAGGAUGGGGCCGCGUCCGAUCAGGUUGUUGGUGAGGUAACGGCUCACCAAGCCUAUAACCGGUACGGGCCGUGAGAGCGGUAGCCCGGAGAUGGGCACUGAGACAAGGGCCCAGGCCCUACGGGGCGCAGCAGUUGCGAAAACUCCGCAAUGCGCGAAAGCGUGACGGGGUCAUCCCGAGUGCCAUCCGCUGAGGAUGGCUUUUCUUCGGUGUAAUGAGUCGAAGGAAUAAGGGGAGGGCAAGACUGGUGUCAGCCGCCGCGGUAAUACCAGCUCCCCGAGUGGUGGGGAUGAUUAUUGGGCUUAAAGCGUCCGUAGCUGGCCUGUCAAGUCUUCCGUUAAAUCCAGCGACCUAAUCGUUGGGCUGCGGGGGAUACUGUCAGGCUAGGGGACGGAAAAGGCCGACGGUAUUCUCGGGGUAGGGGUGAAAUCCUAUAAUCCUGAGAAGACCACCAGUGGCGAAGGCGGUCGGCUAGAACGCGCUCGACGGUGAGGGACGAAAGCUGGGGGAGCGAACCGGAUUAGAUACCCGGGUAGUCCCAGCUGUAAACGAUGCGGGCUAGGUGUUGGAGCGGAUACGAGCCGCUUCUGUGCCGCAGGGAAACCGUUAAGCCCGCCGCCUGGGAAGUACGGUCGCAAGGCUGAAACUUAAAGGAAUUGGCGGGGGAGCA
This 901-nucleotide ribosomal RNA is filed under the name uncultured archaeon. RNAcentral's name for it is "bacterial SSU rRNA". It matches the Rfam family "Archaeal small subunit ribosomal RNA", at positions 1 to 878 of the family's 1478-position model. The record is from RNAcentral.